UCCCUGCCGAAGAGUCCCAAACUAGGACGAAACAGCUGUCCAGUAC
RNAcentral lists this non-coding RNA (46 nucleotides) under Trichobilharzia regenti. The record is from RNAcentral. Lineage: Eukaryota; Metazoa; Platyhelminthes; Trematoda; Strigeidida; Schistosomatidae.